Hypanus sabinus (Atlantic stingray) is the source of this 645-nucleotide long non-coding RNA. RefSeq lists it as uncharacterized. The record is from RefSeq and is a predicted model, not a curated record. The transcript is spliced from 4 exons. Lineage: Eukaryota; Metazoa; Chordata; Chondrichthyes; Myliobatiformes; Dasyatidae.
GCUGAAACGUUGACUGUACUUUUUCCAUACAUGCUGCCUGGCCAGCUGAGUUCCUCCAGCAUUUUGUAUGCCUUGCUCAGCGUUCUGUCAGAUGACUGCAGUUCAGAAUGUGGCAACUGAUGAAGUUUUGAGGACUUUAUUAAUCAACUGCACCUCCUAGUGGACUGCCUAGCUAAUAGUUCAUUUACAAUCCCGGAUUAAGAAAGAAAAGACGAAAAAAAAUAAAGUGGAGAAUAUUGUCCAGACAUCUUCCAGAAGUAACCAGUGCAGGAAGGAAGUACACAUGUUUGAUCAGGCUCUCUCUUUCCUCGCUCGAUGCUGCCAAAGGACGGUGCCAGAGCCUUGGGUUUAAUCUACACGGUUGUGGUUGGACUCUGCCGUUCACGUUAUGUGUGUUUCUGGGUCGCAACAGCAGUGGAUGCGUUUUUCUCAGCGAGAGAGAUGUCAGAUCCCCUUCUCCAUUCCAGCAGCCUCGAUAGUCUGUGUUAAUUUUGAGGUCCGGGAGUAAUUGCAGACUGAUCCAUGUAACUUCAGGGAUUUCAGGAAAACAACAUCGAUUUGUAACUUAAUUAUGUUCAAUCGUGUGGGACACAAAGACCCCUGUGGGUGAAAGGGAUGAGGAGAAGGCAAGUGAAAGGAGGGGUG